Non-coding RNA from Zonotrichia albicollis (white-throated sparrow), 984 nucleotides. The record is from RefSeq and is a predicted model, not a curated record. Lineage: Eukaryota; Metazoa; Chordata; Aves; Passeriformes; Passerellidae.
UCUCAGAGAGGUUCUGAGGUUAUCACAAGGGGCUCCAAAGUCACUGGAGGUGUGUAGGAGAACAUGGUGACCCCAUAGAACAUCUCAGAAUUGGACUGAGGUUGUCAGGAGGGGUUCCAAAGUCACUGGAGGUCUGUAGGACAGCAUGGUGACCCCACAGAACAUCUCCAGGAGGUGCUGAGGUUGUCACAAGGGGCUCCAAAGUCACUGGAGGUCUGUAGGACACUGUGGUGACUCCAUAAAACAUCUCAGAGUUGGACUGAGGACAUCAUGAGGAGCUUCAAAGUCACUGGACGUCUGUAGGACAGUAUGGUGACCCCAUAGAACAUCUCAGAGAGGUUCUGAGGUUGUCAGGAGGGGCUCCAAAGUCACUGGAGGUCUGUAGGACACUGUGGUGACCCCAUAGAACAUCUCAGAGUUGGACUGAGGACAUCACGAGGAGCUUCAAAGUCACUGGAGGUCUGUAGGAGAACAUGGUGACCCCAUAGAACAUCUCAGAGUUUGACUGAGGUGAUUGUGAGGGCCUCCAUAGUCACUGGAGGUCUCUAGGACAACGUGGUGACUCCAUAAAACAUCUCAGAGUUGGACUGAGGACAUCAUGAGGGGCUUCAAAGUCACUGGAGGUCUGUAGGAUAAGGUGGUGACUCCAUAGAACAUCUCAAAGAGGUUCUGAGGUGAUUGUGAGGGGCUCCAAAGUCACUGGAGGUCUGUAGGACAACAUGGUGACCCCAUAGAACAUCUCAAAGAGGUUCUGAGGUUGUCACAAGAGGCUCCAAAGUCACUGGAGGUCUGUAGGACACUGUGGGGACACCAUAAAACGUCACCAUGGGGUCACCUUGGGGACCUUUGGUCACUGUCAGGGUCUGUAGGACAAUGUGGGGACACCAUAAAACGUCACCAUGGGGUCACCAUGGAGACCCUUUGGUCACUGCCAGGGUCUGUAGGACAACGUGGGGACACCAUAAAAUGUCACCAUGAGGUCAC